This is a long non-coding RNA of Cavia porcellus (domestic guinea pig), 2540 nucleotides long. RefSeq lists it as uncharacterized. Lineage: Eukaryota; Metazoa; Chordata; Mammalia; Rodentia; Caviidae. The record is from RefSeq and is a predicted model, not a curated record. The transcript has 3 exons.
UUUGCCAGGGGGUGGAGUUUGGAGGGGGAGGGCGAGUGACGUCUUGACAGCUGAUUAGAGGAAAUUGGCGCACGCGCACAAAACGGAGAGUACAAGUGUCGGGUUUGGAAAAGAACGCGGAAGUCACGUUGAAGGGAGGCGCUGUUCAGCGCCAUGUUAGGUCGGCGCCAUGUUGGGCCGGCGCCAUGCGGAAGCUAGCCUCACUUUACACAGGCAAAACAUGUCAGGGAUGGAUAAACAAGGCCGGCCGGCCAAGGCUGGCCGCCCUCCGCAGACCUUCCAGGAUGGACGGACUUGUGGGUGGGCAGCCUGCUGUUCUGUUCCAGUGGCGCUGCCCCGCUCGGGCUCCUGGCCGAAGCGACCCUCUGUGUGUCUCGGGUCCCGGCGAGGCCGUGCAGAACCCCAGGGUCAGCGGCUGGCCCGCCGUGUUGCGGCAACGCACCCCAGCUGGGCUGUGGAUACUCGGCUGGCGAGUCUGAUUCCUCCCAGGAAGAAGCCACUGGGAGGCCGGGCCGUAGGUCCCGAUCGCCUCCGGGGCCCGUGCUGUUUGAAGUGUGGUUUGCUUGAUUGAGUGAUUGAGUCAACCAUCACCUGUCCAAGAACAGAUAAAGGUCCAAUGGACCCUCCACACCUUGAGCUAGUAUAUAAGUCACGGGAAACAGGAUACAUCUUCUCCAUAGAAAAAUGGAAUCCGCCAUUCUGGUCUACCUCUAUGCUCAUGACCACAUCAGUAAGUAUCACUUUGAAUGCUUGAAUAAUUCUCCAUACGUCCACUGUAUCUAUCCUGUAUGUUGGUAGACCCAUCAGAGCGACUGCUUCCAUCAUAAGUCUGUGGGGUUCUCCUGUGGAGCACCCGUAACUCUCGUUCACAACUCUGUAAGUGCCUCCACGUGGAUGUUCAGAGUAAUCUCUACCUCAUCCGCCACCGUAGCCACCAUGAUCACUAUAGGCCUUAGAAGAAUGUUCAUCUGGAGAAAAAUAACAGCCACAGUUGUGGUGUUCGUAGUCUCUAGGUGGUGAAGCACGAUCUUUGGUGUAUCAGGAACUUGCAUAGACUCCGCUUGAAGAUCUGUCUUCAGCAGAGUAAUUUUCAUCUCUUGGCGAUAGCAUAAUCGUUGCUCUGAGAAGAAACGGGCUUUUUGUGUUUCUCUCUACCACGCAAUUCUGGAGCUCAUCUUCCCAACCCGAUGAGUGCAUCUUGAAGGAGCAAAAAGAGUAGCUCUUUCAGAAGAAGACCCUCCACUUCGUGAAGAAGGACACCUUUUAACUGGGAAGAGUUCCCCAGAAGAACUCGUGCUGAGACUGUGAUUACAUCCUCCGUCAUCCGAGCAUCCUCCACAUGAAGGAGGCUGUUUCGCUCCAUCAUUUUCUCCUCCUCCAUGUCUCACUCUUCUCAUAUGGCCUCUGUCCCUUGAGAGAGGUCGUCCUCGAUUACUGCCACUUUCGGGAGCAUUUGUUUGCCUUCUACUUGGAUUGAUUUUCCAUUCAAAGACUUUCCAUUCAUCUCUUUGGCAGCAACCUUAGCAUCUACAGCUCUUUCAAAGGUAAUAAAAGCAAAGCAUUUGGACUUGUUGGUUUCCCAAUCCUUUAUCUAAAGAGCUUCUGCUGUGGAUCCAAAUGAUCGAAAUAGCGCUUCAAGAGUCUUUUCAUUGGUCUCUGUGUGGAGGCCUCCUCUGAAGAGUUUCCCACGCCAGUCAGCUCCCCUCAUUUUGCUCCUUUUACGGUUCCCAGAGACCUUUCCUUACUCCUUUCGAGAGAGAAAAUAGCUGUCCCAAGUGGUGCCGCAAGCAAGUCUUCCCAUCCAUUUGUACGUCUUUUGACGUACUGAGUCUUUUGUAAGCAGCAUAUGGGACUGUGUAAAGAUCCUGUCUGGCAGAUUCUGUUGCUCAAUUAGAGCCUUGAGAGCGAAUCUGUGAUUUUCCUAACUGCUUUCGCAUUUCCGUCCUGGCCGCAUGCUGCUCUUCUCCCUGCCUGCCUGCUCCGGGGCUCAGUGUUCACAGCUGUGUUUUCCUGCCGGCGGCUCGCUAGCUGUGUGUAAGUUGGGCUGUGCAUUGUGCUGGCCGUGGUGACUGCAGUGCAGGGCCUUUGGGCUGGUCUGACUGCAUCUCCCGCGGUCAGUAAGAGCCUCUGCACCCCACUGAUAUCUCACUGUCUGUGGGGCAUUGUUUUUGUUCAGUUCUUGGUCUGUAUUUCACCCGAAGGCUUUGUUAUGUUUUUUCUUCUUCAUUAUUUUUUUUUUUUGAUAAGGAAUUUAAAGCUUUAUUCUUUAAACAGAUUUUGAAACUAUUUUUGUACAUUGAAAUUUUUGUUGGUUUGUUUGUUUUUUGGUACUGGGGAUCGAACUCACAACCUUGCACUUGCCAGGCAGGCACUUGUGCCACUGAGCUGUAUCCCCAACCCUGAAGUACAAUUAAAAAAAUAUAUUAUUAGAAUAAACUAUCUCCAGUAAUGUUUUAUUCAGAAGUUAUAUUAACAUAUGUGAUGAACUGAUAACAAAACCCAAAUCUUACAUUAUAAAAUUAUGCUACCCCUGGUAAGAC